Molecule: ribosomal RNA, 699 nt
Filed under: uncultured bacterium
Lineage: Bacteria
Description: bacterial SSU rRNA
Rfam family: Bacterial small subunit ribosomal RNA
Source: RNAcentral
AGAGUUUGAUCCUGGCUCAGAAUGAACGUUGGCGGCAUGGAUUAGGCAUGCAAGUCGAGCGAGAAGUUUAAGUUUGACGCUUCGGUUGAUUUCUUAAAUGGACAGCGGCGCAAGGGAGAGUAACGCGUAGUUAUCUGCCCCAAGGUCCGGAAUAGCCUCGGGAAACUGAGGGUAAUACCGGAUAAUAUCCCCGGAUCAAAGGUGUGAUUCCGCCUUGGGAGGAGACUGCGUUGUACUAGCUUGUUGGUGGGGUAAUGGCCUACCAAGGCGAUGAUGCAUAGCGGGCGUGAGAGCGUGGCCCGUCUCACUGGGACUGAAACACUGCCCAGACACCUACGGGUGGCUGCAGUCGAGAAUCUUCGGCAAUGGGCGAAAGCCUGACCGAGCGAUGCCGCGUGCGGGAUGAAGGCCCUCGGGUUGUAAACCGCUGUCAGUUGGGAGGAAGGCUCCGUGAAGAGCGGAGCUUGACCUAUCUUCAGAGGAAGUCCGGGCUAAGUUCGUGCCAGCAGCCGCGGUAACACGAACCGGACAAACGUUAUUCGGAAUUAUUGGGCUUAAAGGGUGCGUAGGCGGCGCGGUAAGUGAGGUGUGAAAUCCCACGACUCAAUCGUGGAACUGCGCUUCAUACUGCCGUGCUAGAGGGAGACAGAGGUAAGCGGAACUGAUGGUGGAGCGGUGGAAUGCGUUGAUAUUAUCAGG